Molecule: ribosomal RNA, 495 nt
Filed under: uncultured bacterium
Lineage: Bacteria
Description: partial 16S ribosomal RNA
Rfam family: Bacterial small subunit ribosomal RNA
Source: RNAcentral
GACGAACGCUGGCGGCGUGCCUAAUACAUGCAAGUAGAACGCUGAAGGAGGAGCUUGCUUCUCUGGAUGAGUUGCGAACGGGUGAGUAACGCGUAGGUAACCUGCCUGGUAGCGGGGGAUAACUAUUGGAAACGAUAGCUAAUACCGCAUAAGAGUAGAUGUCGCAUGACAUUUGCUUAAAAGGUGCAAUUGCAUCACUACCAGAUGGACCUGCGUUGUAUUAGCUAGUUGGUGAGGUAACGGCUCACCAAGGCAACGAUACAUAGCCGACCUGAGAGGGUGAUCGGCCACACUGGGACUGAGCCACGGCCCAGACUCCUACGGGAGGCAGCAGUAGGGAAUCUUCGGCAAUGGACGGAAGUCUGACCGAGCAACGCCGCGUGAGUGAAGAAGGUUUUCGGAUCGUAAAGCUCUGUUGUAAGAGAAGAACGAGUGUGAGAGUGGAAAGUUCACACUGUGACGGUAUCUUACCAGAAAGGGACGGCUAACUACGUG